This 253-nucleotide ribosomal RNA is filed under the name uncultured bacterium. RNAcentral describes it as "partial 16S ribosomal RNA". It matches the Rfam family "Bacterial small subunit ribosomal RNA", at positions 524 to 776 of the family's 1533-position model. The record is from RNAcentral.
UACGUAGGAUGCAAGCGUUGUCCGGAUUUACUGGGCGUAAAGCGCGCGCAGGCGGCACAUUAAGUAAGGUGUGAAAUAUCCCGGCUCAACCGGGAGGGUGCACUUUAGACUGAUGAGCUUGAGGUCGGUAGAGGGGGGUGGAACUCUCGGUGUAGAGGUGAAAUUCGUAGAUAUCGAGAAGAACACCCGUGGCGAAGGCAGUUCUCUGGGACGGUACUGACGCUGAGACGCGAAAGCGUGGGGAGCGAACAGG